RNAcentral lists this ribosomal RNA (460 nucleotides) under uncultured bacterium. RNAcentral's name for it is "partial 16S ribosomal RNA". It matches the Rfam family "Bacterial small subunit ribosomal RNA", at positions 338 to 795 of the family's 1533-position model. The record is from RNAcentral.
CCUACGGGCGGCAGCAGGGAGGAAUAUUGGGCAAUGGGCGGAAGCCUGAACCAGCCAAGUCGCGGGAGGGAUGAAGGUGCUAUGGAGAGUAAACCUCUGUUAUAAGGGAAUAAAGUGCGGGACGUGUCCCGUUUUGUAUGUACCUUAUGAAUAAGGAUCGGCUAACUCCGUGCCAGCAGCCGCGGUAAUACGGAGGGACCGUGCGUUAUCCGGAUUUAUUGGGUUUAAAGGGUGCGUAGGCGGCCUUUUCAGUCAGCGGUGAAAGUCUGUGGCUCAACCAUAGAAUGGCCGUUGAAACUGGGAGGCUUGAGUAUGUUUGCGGCAGGCGGCAUGCGUGGUGUAGCGGUGAAAUGCUUAGAUCUCACGCAGAACCCCGAUUGCGAAGGCAGCCUGCCAAGCCAUGACUGACGCUGAUGCACGAAAGCGUGGGGAUCAAACAGGAUUAGAUACCCCAGUAGUC